RNAcentral lists this ribosomal RNA (257 nucleotides) under uncultured bacterium. RNAcentral's name for it is "partial 16S ribosomal RNA". It matches the Rfam family "Bacterial small subunit ribosomal RNA", at positions 524 to 776 of the family's 1533-position model. The record is from RNAcentral.
UACGUAGGGUGCAAGCGUUUGUCCGGAAUUAUUGGGCGUAAAGAGCUCGUAGGCGGUCUGUCGCGUCGGCUGUGAAAUCCCGAGGCUCAACCUCGGGUCUGCAGUCGAUACGGGCAAACUAGAGUAUUGCAGGGGAGACUGGAAUUCCUGGUGUAGCGGUGAAAUGCGCAGAUAUCAGGAGGAACACCGGUGGCGAAGGCGGGUCUCUGGGCAAUAACUGACGCUGAGGAGCGAAAAGCGUGGGGGAGCGAAACAGG